This is a long non-coding RNA of Meriones unguiculatus (Mongolian gerbil), 421 nucleotides long. RefSeq lists it as uncharacterized. The record is from RefSeq and is a predicted model, not a curated record. Lineage: Eukaryota; Metazoa; Chordata; Mammalia; Rodentia; Muridae. The transcript has 3 exons.
GGCGGCUUAGUAUCUGUUCCGGUCUGAGAUCAAAGAGUGGAUGGCCUUCAGGAUUUUCAGACAAGGAAUUAUUCCUGAAGUAGGCAGUGCAUGGAGAGCCAAGGGCUUAUGCUUGAAAGGGGUUCUUACCUUCUAGUACUGAGACGUGAACCCAGAGGCUUCCAUACUAGUCCUACUGUGAGAGAUGAGGCAGAGACAGGAGAAUCACCAGAAAGUUAGCUGGCCUGGACCGAGCAGCAACAGCAGCAGCAGCAGCAGAAGCAGCAGAAAUGUGACCCUGUCUCAACAAGAUGAAAUAAAAAACUAAGUCUCAAAAGUUGACCUCUGACCUCCACAUGUACACCAUGGCAAGUCUGUGCCUGCAGUCUCAUUUGUGCACACACAUAGGAAUGAAUAAACAAGUAAAUGAAUAAAUAAAACA